UUGUAUUGCAACUUGCUUUCUUUUCAGUUAAAGACACAGUGUAUCUUGGAUAGUUGAGUGAUUUGCCAUGCAUGCAAGAAAAGUCUUUUAUUUGUAACAAAGUCUUGCAGAAAUAGACACAAACGACGGAGCUUGCAGAGAAAAAUGUAAAAAAUCCUUUCCUUCCCUUAUCAGAGGAACCCUGAGAAACCAGUAUUUGAGGCUGACGAUGACAGCAGCCCCCACCGAUUACGAGCUAACUGUGACCAGCACUGCCACGCAUGUAUCCCAUCACUCAGUCCUCAUAUGCUGCUAGGAGACUGGAUGGCCAUUUCACGAGCAAGUAAAUGGAGGCACAGCCACGUCACGUAACUGCCCACACAGCUAGUAGGUGCACAGCUGAAAUUCAAGCCUUGGCAGUGGGUACCCAGAGUCCCAGCUUGGAACAUCACUGUGAUACAAAUGGGGCUUUCUGUGGUUAUGGCUCAGGGUAGGAAUCAGAUGCGGUUUACCUUAGGGAAAGACAACUCUUAGCUCUGUCACUGCCUAAGCCGAUGACAGCACCCAUUCUCUAGGGACUGGGCAUGUGCCUGGUACAUUGCUGCAUUGUCAGAGGAAGUGUGUAUGUGUGCAGGGGGUGGGGGUGAAGGGGCAGGGGGGUCAUAGGGAAGACACAGGUGUUAGGGUCACAAAGACCUCAGUUUGAGUCUUAACCCUAAUGUACCAGCUGUGUGACUCCGGGCAACUUUU
RNAcentral lists this non-coding RNA (729 nucleotides) under Pan troglodytes (chimpanzee). The record is from RNAcentral. Lineage: Eukaryota; Metazoa; Chordata; Mammalia; Primates; Hominidae.